This 426-nucleotide ribosomal RNA is filed under the name Oenococcus oeni. RNAcentral's name for it is "bacterial SSU rRNA". It matches the Rfam family "Bacterial small subunit ribosomal RNA", at positions 1 to 401 of the family's 1533-position model. The record is from RNAcentral. Lineage: Bacteria; Bacillati; Bacillota; Bacilli; Lactobacillales; Lactobacillaceae.
UUAAAUUGAGAGUUUGAUCCUGGCUCAGGAUGAACGCUGGUGGCGUGCCUAAUACAUGCAAGUCGUACGCUAGCCGCUGAAUUGAUCCUUCGGGUGAAGUGAGGCAAUGACUAGAGUGGCGAACUGGUGAGUAACACGUAAGAAACCUGCCCUUUAGUGGGGGAUAACAUUUGGAAACAGAUGCUAAUACCGCGUAACAACAAAUCACACAUGUGAUCUGUUUGAAAGGUCCUUUUGGAUCGCUAGAGGAUGGUCUUGCGGCGUAUUAGCUUGUUGGUAGGGUAGAAGCCUACCAAGGCAAUGAUGCGUAGCCGAGUUGAGAGACUGGCCGGCCACAUUGGGACUGAGACACUGCCCAAACUCCUACGGGAGGCUGCAGUAGGGAAUUUUCCGCAAUGCACGAAAGUGUGACGGAGCGACGCCGCG